This 695-nucleotide ribosomal RNA is filed under the name Hoylesella nanceiensis. Its description in RNAcentral is "bacterial SSU rRNA". It matches the Rfam family "Bacterial small subunit ribosomal RNA", at positions 1 to 686 of the family's 1533-position model. Lineage: Bacteria; Pseudomonadati; Bacteroidota; Bacteroidia; Bacteroidales; Prevotellaceae. The record is from RNAcentral.
ACAAUGUAGAGUUUGAUCCUGGCUCAGGAUGAACGCUAGCUACAGGCUUAACACAUGCAAGUCGAGGGGCAGCAUGUUGGUUGCUUGCAACCAAUGAUGGCGACCGGCGCACGGGUGAGUAACGCGUAUCCAACCUACCCAAUACUCAGGUAUAACCCGUUGAAAGACGGACUAAUUCCUGAUGGCAUGUAUUUCUCUCAUGAGUUAUACAUUAAAGAAUUUCGGUAUUGGAUGGGGAUGCGUCUGAUUAGUUUGUUGGUGAGGUAACGGCUCACCAAGACUUCGAUCAGUAGGGGUUCUGAGAGGAAGGUCCCCCACAUUGGAACUGAGACACGGUCCAAACUCCUACGGGAGGCAGCAGUGAGGAAUAUUGGUCAAUGGAUGAAAAUCUGAACCAGCCAAGUAGCGUGCAGGAUGACGGCCCUAUGGGUUGUAAACUGCUUUUAUGUGAGAAUAAAGUUAGGUAUGUAUACUUAUUUGCAUGUAUCACAUGAAUAAGGACCGGCUAAUUCCGUGCCAGCAGCCGCGGUAAUACGGAAGGUCCAGGCGUUAUCCGGAUUUAUUGGGUUUAAAGGGUGCGUAGGCCGUUUGAUAAGCGUGCUGUGAAAUAUAGUGGCUCAACCUCUAUCGUGCAGCGCGAACUGUCGAACUUGAGUGCGUAGUAGGUAGGCGGAAUUCGUGGUCUGUCUCUUAUA